Molecule: transfer RNA, 85 nt
Filed under: Felis catus (domestic cat)
Lineage: Eukaryota; Metazoa; Chordata; Mammalia; Carnivora; Felidae
Rfam family: tRNA
About the family: Transfer RNA (tRNA) molecules are approximately 80 nucleotides in length.
Source: Rfam by way of RNAcentral
GCCUGGGUGGCUCAGUCAGUUGAGCGACUGACUUCAGCUCAGGUCAUGAUCUCACAGUCUGUGAGUUCAAGUCCCGUCUCGGGCU